Molecule: long non-coding RNA, 420 nt
Organism: Mercurialis annua (annual mercury)
Lineage: Eukaryota; Viridiplantae; Streptophyta; Magnoliopsida; Malpighiales; Euphorbiaceae
Exons: 2
Source: RefSeq, a predicted model, not a curated record
UUCUUUUCUCCAUUUUUGUGGGUACUGAAUUCUCCUAAAAAUCAAACACAACUCCAUUUGCUUUUAUUUUCUUACAAAAUUUUCUCAACAAAAAUUGACGGGAAACUUUCGUAGAUCGUUAUCCUAACCUUUAAUCAAUGAUCAAGGCGAGUAAUUUGAGGUGUGGAUUUCCAAUUUCUUGUUCCGGAAAUCCCCGGCUGAAUAAAAUAUGAUGACCCUUUUCUCCUAAUGUAUAGAGUUGCAGUAGCUAUAGUAUCGUAUGGUGACGCCUUAGUAGUCGUUGGACUUAUUUAUGCAUUAUAUUUUAUUUUACCGCUAAAACUCUAAUAUACUAUAAUGUGUGUAUGAUGUGCGAAAGUUCGAGCGACUGCACAAGAAUAAAUGUGAUGAACGCGUCUGCAAAAGGAGAUGCAGUUAUAA